This 905-nucleotide ribosomal RNA is filed under the name uncultured archaeon. RNAcentral's name for it is "bacterial SSU rRNA". It matches the Rfam family "Archaeal small subunit ribosomal RNA", at positions 5 to 879 of the family's 1478-position model. The record is from RNAcentral.
CGGUUGAUCCUGCCGGACCCUACUGCUAUCGGGGUGGGACUAAGACAUGCGAGUCGAGCGACUUCCAAGUCACAGCCAUUGGAGACGCGGCAGACAGCUCAGUAACACGUGGCUAACCUGCCCUUGGGACGGGGAUACCCCCGGGAAACUGGGGCUAAUCCCCGAUAGGUGAAGAAGCCGGGAAUGGUUCUUCACCCCAAAAGGCUUUGAAAGCAUGCUUUUCAAAGCCGCCCAAGGAUGGGGCCGCGUCCGAUCAGGUUGUUGGUGAGGUAACGGCUCACCAAGCCUUUUACCGGUGCGGGCCGUGGGAGCGGGAGCCCGGAGAUGGGCACUGAGACAAGGGCCCAGGCCCUACGGGGCGCAGCAGUCGCGAAAACUCUGCAAUACACGAAAGUGUGACAGGGCUACCCCGAGUGCCAUCCGCUGAGGAUGGCUUUUACCCAGUCUAGCAAGCUGGGAGAAUAAGGAGAGGGCAAGACUGGUGUCAGCCGCCGCGGUAAUACCAGCUCUCCGAGUGGUAGGGAUGUUUAUUGGGCCUAAAGCAUCCGUAGCCGGCUGGGCAAGUCCCCUGUUAAAUCCAGCGAUUUAAUCGUUGGUGUGCGGGGGAUACUGCUCAGCUAGGGGGCGGGAGAGGCAGACGGUAUUUCCGGGGUAGGGGUGAAAUCCUAUAAUCCCGGGAGGACCACCAGUGGCGAAGGCUGUCGGCUAGAACGCGCCCGACGGUGAGGGAUGAAAGCUGGGGGAGCGAACCGGAUUAGAUACCCGGGUAGUCCCAGCUGUAAACGAUGCAGGCUAGGUGUUGGGGCGGCCACGUGCCGCUCCAGUGCCGCAGGGAAGCCGUUAAGCCUGCCGCCUGGGGAGUACGGCCGCAAGGCUGAAACUUAAAGGAAUUGGCGGGGGAGCAC